AUGAAUCUCCUGAGUUGGAACUGCCGGGGAGGGGGGAACUCCCGGACAGUUCGUGAUUUAGCGACUAUGGUUCAGUCGCAUUCCCCCACCAUGGUGUUUCUAUGUGAAACUAGGCAAUCAAAAAAUCGUAUGAAAAGAUAUCGAGCUCGUUUGGGGCUUCAAGGUUUUGAUGCAGUAGACAGUAUUGGUAAUAGUGGUGGCUUGGCACUGUUUUGGCACGAA
This 222-nucleotide ribosomal RNA is filed under the name Triticum aestivum (bread wheat). Its description in RNAcentral is "partial small subunit ribosomal RNA". Lineage: Eukaryota; Viridiplantae; Streptophyta; Magnoliopsida; Poales; Poaceae. The record is from RNAcentral.